Molecule: long non-coding RNA, 3143 nt
Filed under: Olea europaea subsp. europaea
Lineage: Eukaryota; Viridiplantae; Streptophyta; Magnoliopsida; Lamiales; Oleaceae
Source: RNAcentral
GUCCCUUUUUUCCUUUCCUCAUGGCAUUUUGCAUUUAUGGCUGUGAGCACAUGUUUGUAUGCAUAAUGAUUCCUAAAUUUUAGUUUUGUGCUUAUUUCUCUGUUGAUUGGAUCAUGGAGCCCACAUUUCAUUUGGUGUGGAAUAGUUCAGGGAGAGAGAAGGGGUUACCUACGACUGUGGCUGCAAGGAGGGAUGACGGACUAGAUUUGGUUGUAUGAAUUUUCACUUUAAAAUUUUACAAUCAUUUAUGAGAUGGCAAUGAUAGGCUAUGAAAACUCAAUGGUGUUGUGAUAUUCCAACAGACUAAUGAUAAUUGUGUGAUUAAACCACAAGCAAAGUUUUAAAAUACAUAAACAAUGUACCUUUGGAUUGGCUAUUAUGCAUGGACUCUUAUGGUUUCGUGUACUCUUAAAUAUAGGGAAUUUUCAUUUCUUCCUUAAUAUUAUAAGCAGGAAUGACAAUGCCCCUCUAUAAAUACGAAAAUGCUAUUGUUUCCCAAAGCAUCUGAGAAAUAAGAGUGCCAUUAAAAUGUACCAUCAAUUGGUUUUUAUCAUUGUGUCCAUUCAUUUAUUUACUUAUUUCUCAGGAGUAUUCUGAUGCCUUUCUUUUUUUUUUUUUUUUGUUUAAAUGCACUAACUCUUUCAAAUAAAUUUUUAGCUAUUACUGUGAUUGUUUUUUAUUGGUUUUUCCCACUCGAGCUAUGAACUUGCUGUUCCAUGUAUAUUCAUGCAAAUGUGAAGGUUGCUGUUAUGCAGCCGCUUAGUCCAGUUCAGUCUUCUUGUAAUUUAUAUUCAUAUUUUUGCCAAUUUCAGGUAUGCCACUACGAAAGCUUUCUGUAUAGCAUUUUUUAUGACAUUCUUCUGUAUAGCAUUUUUUAUGACAUUCUUUUUGUAGAACCCCAAAUAAUUCUAGACACCUUAGUCGCACUAAGACAUGAAUAUUGGAUGACUAAAGUAUACUUCAGAUUUUUAGUCUCAAUUGAGACCCAUUUUCGACAUAGGAAACAUUCGAUUUGGAAAAUGAUAACUAAAUAAAAGUUGUAGCUCUUUGAGUUAGCUUUCCAACGCACUUUGAAUUACCUCAAUCGAAUAUCGGGAGAAGAAGUUAUGAUAGAAACACUGAAAGCUGUGCAGUGUCAACCGGACUACAACUGGUAAACCGAAACUGCCUAAAAUGAAAAUUCUCGUUUUUCUCUAGAAUUUAAAUAUUUAUUUUCAUCAAUUAUUUUCUCAUAGGGCUACCCACGUUUUUGGCAAUAAAAACCUCAUUAAAUUGAAGCAUUUAACCUCAAACUUAAAUGGCACCCAUGUUUUCUCUUUUAAAUGAAAUUUGACCCUUUAUUUGCUUUAAGUUAUGAGAUAUUUACCUAUAAAUAGAGAUCUCAUUUCACUCAUUUUUUCUCACACCAAAAGCAAGAGCUUUUACAUACUAAAGAAAGAGUUUCCAAGAGAGAAAAAGAGAGGGAGGAAAACUAUUUUUCCUAGAAGUUUAAGAAGUAUUUUCAAUCAUUUUUCAUAGAAGUUUUGGGUGCUAUCAAGGAGUGUCUUCAAACAUCAAUUCUCAACGGUUUUCAAACAUCCAAGGAGUGCAUUUCUUUCAACGUUCAAGUUUCAUCGAAAUUUUCAAUCCAAAUUUUCAAAAGUAUAAAUCAAGGUAGGUAGAGGUGCAAUGUGUUUAAUCGUAUUAAGUUAUAAGUUUCGAUUCAUGUUAACGUUUGUAUGUCAAAUGGUACUCCGGUACGGCAUAUACUUCUAUGUUAAUGGUUGUAUGUCAAAUGGUACUCCGGUACGGCAUACCCUCUAUGUUGAAGAAAUGUUCGUAUGUCAAAUGGUGCCAUCGGGUACGGCAUAUCCCUUCAUGUCAAAUGGUGCCUCCGGGUACGGCAUGUAUGAGAAGUUAUAAAGUUAAUAUUUUGAAAUGUAUAACUUGAUCACUAAUGCACCUAUGACACCUAUUGAGUUUUUCAACUCACGGGUUUAAUCCCAUCUCUACAGAUUGAAGGAAUUUUACCUCGAGCAUGGAUGUAGGAGAAGAUGGAGAGUGAUGCAACGAGCCCAUAGAAAUUCGGUGAAUAAGUGAUUUGGAUUUAUUUUUAUGAAAUGUUUUCCAAUGUUAUUUCUUUAAAGUUUUGAAUAACGCAGAAUGCGAGAACAAGUUAUGUUUUCUUCAAAUAAAUUACAUUUUGUUGUUUUGAAAAAUGAUUCAGUGUUUUUGUUUAAAGUAUUUGAAGUAUUGCUAUUUAAAUUAUUAUCCGAAGAUGUAAGCUUCCGCUAAAACGUAUACACUUGUUACUAAACCAUCGGUUAAGCUAAGUAAAGUAAGUAGCGUUCCGGUUCACUAGGGGUCGGGGCGUUACACUUUUCCAUGUUUGAUGUCCCCGUCUUUUGGCCCAUCUUAUUGUGCUACUGGAUUGUUCUAUUUGCACUCACAAUGAGGCGUCAAAUCACGCACAUGAUCAAGUACAAAUACAUUCCAUUUAACAUUGGAAAGCAAGUUAGUGGAAGAAAUUUGUUGGUAUAUUUUCUCAGCUGUGUUGUUGCUACAAAUGGAAGCUUCUUCCUUGUAUUACCAUUUUGUAUUAGUAGUUGAGAAAACUCUUCUUGAUACACAAUGUCGGGUUGUGCUAGACAUUAAAUUGAAUAAGAUUUUAACUUUUUUUACUAAUAUUGUCGAUAUUUUCUGGUCCACCUAGCAAACCUGCUAUAAAAGCACUGCUCACUAGAUACCUUUUCUUUUUCUAUAUAACAGAAGUACAGUGGGAGAAAAUCUACUUCAAGUACCAGCAGACUGAUUCUUCAUGUUUUUUACUAAACAAGCGAGGAGGAAAAGGCAUGGAUGGGGGAAGAACAGGAGCGGCUAUAGUUUUUUACUUAAUUGGUUUGUAUUUUAUGUUAGAAAUUUACUACGGACCUCAAUAGAGAGUUUAAAUCAUGUUCACUAGCUGUUCUUCGAUUAUGGCAGUGAAAAGAUUGCAAAUUGUAUGUGUAGCAUGUUGAAUUAAAUAAGAAAGACACGUUAUAAAAGUUUGUGAGCUGCAUGAGGUCGCUAUUUGGGAACUCAAUGUCUUGGUAAUUUGACCUCAAAAUCUCUUUGUUCAUGCAGUCAACAAUUUAUAAUCACCUCUUUAUUCACUUAUGCAUCAC